CUCCAGUGCUCCCCCGACGCUCUGUCCCUCUUCACCCCCCACCUAACUGAGGCUUUGUAACCCGAUGCUCUGUAAAGAGCUUUCCACAGGAGCAUCAAGAGAUGUCCUUGCUCAAUAUUAAACCUGUCCCCCGACUGCCCUCCUUCCAAACACAGUCCCCUCCUGAGGCUUCCACCGCAAGGCUUGGCUGGCAGGAGAAACUGGCCCAGCUGUUUUGAAUUAGGGGCAAUGGGAGGCUUCCUUGUAAUAUAUGACUUAAUCAGUGUCCCUGAAGUAAACAGUCCAAGCUGUGGCUGGAAAUGACCCGACAUUGGACUUCAUCAACCUCCUUUGACUCUGAAGCUGAGAAUGAAUUUGAAUCUCUAUAGGUGUGUUCUAGGGUCUCAUUAGCAGAUAGCUGUCCUUGGACCUCUGGAGGAGUGAAGUAUAUCACGUGACUCCUGCACUGUAGGCUUGGGAAAUUCAUUUUGCCUCCCAGUCUCAGAGUUCCUUCCUGCCAAGUGGAGAUGACAGCAUCAGGACCGGGCUGCAUAUCAGGUCCGGGCUGCAUAUCCUCCCAAGCGCUCUGUGCUGGACUGGAUGGACCCAAGCAGACAGCUCCCGAUGUUAAAGGUGGUGUGCUGUGAAGACACUGAGCACAGAAUGCCCACUCUGUCCUCUGUGAGGGGCUCACAGGCCACGCAGCAGGGAGUGCAUGGUAAUAUGCAAAAGUGCUCCACCCACACGGAGAGUCCGGUUCUUCUGGUAUAGACUGGCACCCCGGAACCAUCAUCAGUGCAACAUGGCUUCCUCUUUCAUUCCUCCGUCACCAGCUCUGUACUGCCGCCUGCCAGGUGCCAAGAAGGGUGCUGAUGCAGAUCCGCGAGUAACCAAGACACCAUCCCCUGCCUGGGAGAGCUGUGCUGCUCCAUCCUCACUGCAGUCCCACACUCUCUCAAAUGGACCCUUCAAGAUUGUGGCAGCCCUUAUUGCUGCACUAUCAGGAUUAGUGCUGGAGUUGUGAACCUAGAACAGCAAAUUCAAUUCCUCUCAAAUCAGUUUCUCAACAUCAUCCUUUAACCUCUUAGCAGGAUUGAGGGAGUUUCUUUCUGGUCAUUAGGCAGGUUGUGGGACUCACUUAAACCAAGCAGCAAAGAGGUUAAUUGACCAGGUUUGUGUUGUUAUUUAUAUGCCAUGUAAACACCCAGCUGGUCCUGGCCUUUACAUUUGGCCAUAUCUCAGCAGGGAUCACAGGAUGAACUUGACACUUGUGAGACUUCCCAGAGAGUUCUUGAGAUUGGGAACACAUUCUUUUGAAGUGUGUCAUCCGCUUCAAUCUAUUCUUUAGGCCAAAUCCUAAUAAUCACACCUGUCCUCCUUAUAAAAGUCCAAUUGUGGAUGAGGCAAUUUUUCCUCUUUCUGUCCGAAGAAGCGAUUAUUAUCUUUAAAAAAAGACAGUCUUAUAAGAGGCAAGUUCAAAUACAGAUUAAAAUAAUAAUAAUACUUAGCAUUUCCACCCCACCUUUCAUCUACAGAGCUCAAAGUACUUGGCAAACAUUAAUUAAUUCUCAAAACAGCCUUAUGAGGUGAGUAGGGGUAUUAUCUUUAUAAUAAUAUAUAAAUACUGGCUGGUUCAUGAAAGCAACCACUUAAAAGGGACAAUACUACAGGAUUAGUUUCAGAAACAGCCUUCUCACCUGGUCUAGACUUAAUAAUUUUGGGUAACACAUUUGGGAGUGCCAGAUUUCCUAAUAAUACGAUAUCCUGGAGUGAACAUAUAUAUCCUUUCAAAGUGAUGUCUCUAGUGGUUUAAGGCAGUCUUAUCUAUUUGAAGGAACUUUUUAUGUUAAAAAAUUCUAAUUGCGGGUUGUUCACUCAAAACGAUGUCAAUCUAUACAUGAAAGGAUUCUAAACUGUCCUAGUGCAUAAAGUUUAGUGGUGAGAGUCUGGGAUUCUAUUUCAAAUGUAUUUGCACUUGAAGGGGUUGUGACAAUUUCAAGGUUUUAUGUUUUUACUCAUCGAUUUAAAUUUUGAGCAUGUCACAAAACACAGCUCCAUGACUUGUCAAAAUGGGUACCAGCCAGAACUUCUGUCUCAUCACCAAAGAUGAAAAAUACCAAGACCUAGUAAAAGCUGAUCAGGAAUGCAUGAAAUUGGCUCCUGAAUGAAUCAUACAAAAAGGUGGUCUAUUUUUAUUUGGUAUCCUUUUCUUCCUUUGUCUCCUGUCAUGACCUCCCUUAGCAAAUAGAAUAGUAUUCCAUUUUCCAGUUGCUAACCUGAAUUCCCCAGAGCUGAUUUCUGAGCACAGCACCGUCAGUGAAGCCCACUGCAUGUGGGCUAUGUCCUGUCAUAGCUUUGAUUCCAUCUGUGCUUAUUUUUCCUGAAGACAAUGCUCGUCUAUGCAAAAUUGUACUGGCUUCUUGAUCCUGAAAAAUUAAUUAUUCGGGUUAAUAGAAAUUAUACUUUUUCUAUCCUAAACUCGCCCCGCAUCAAAAUUACCUUGCAUCCAGGAAGCCCUCAGUAAACAUUAAUUCAGGAUUUUCUUUGUUUUGUUGAAGUGUAAAAACAUCCCCAGACUCUGGCUGAAACCAUUGUUUAUUGUCUUGGUUGGGUAAAUCCUCUAUUUUAAAAUUGUAUUUGUUGCUCCGAAUUUUUUACUAAUUGAUCCUAGUUUGUGAAUUGGUCCACUUGAUCAUGGAAGAAACCUUAUAUACCACUUAACCGUGCAGUAUUGAUCCGCUAAAUCUAUCUGCUUGCCUCUGUCAAUGGCUUCACUUAGCAGCCUCAAGAGAGAAAACCUGGUUUUGGUCUCAUAGCUUUGGUUGAGCCGAUGGUCUCCAAUCUCCAAAGUGGGAUAAACCAGAUUGCUUCACUGUGUUUAUCUUGGCCCGCCAUGUCUCUUUAAGGAGAAAAUGGUCCAAAUAAAGUGCUUCCUCUGUGUAUUUUGACAGGAAACACUACUAAUAUGCUUUCCUUUUGUUGUGUGCCUUUCUCCUUUCUCCCAAUGUUGUUUAAAUAUUUUCAGUACAAUGACAUAUUUAUUAAUCCACUACUCUCUGCAUGGGACAUGAAAUGAUUGGUUCUUUUGUAAAGCCCUCUUAGAAAAGGUGGUUUCUCCAGUGAGAGUUAAUAAUAUUACCACUAUUCAUGUAAAAAAAUGCUGAGACAAUCUCUUAAAAAUGGAACACAUUUAUCUAAAACAGCUGGUAAAGAAAGCACACAGGCCCAGCCAGAGGCGGCGAGGUCAGAGGUCAGGGUUAACACCGAUCUUGGUGGAACUUUGAAGCUGACAUUUUACAGAUUAUAUGUGUCUCAGUGCACAGUGGGCAUGGCAUAUAAAUUGGACUUAGAGGCCCCUAUUUGUUCUCUGCAUUUUUAUGAGCCCACAGAGCUCUUCUUUGAAACAGCAUACAUAGAAAAUAAAAACUCAUUUUAAUGUUGUAGAACUAUUUACAAUAAAUCACAUUUACAUCCUGCCUUUUCAUAAGUAUAAAAUCUCUCUCUCUCUCUGUCUGUCACAGACACACACACACACACACACACACACACACAAGCAUACACACACAUUCAUGGAGUCUAUUUCCCAACCGGGGUAGCUUAUUUUUCACCUUACAAUAUUGUAAACCUAGCUUCCUGUCUCUCCUUGCCUUGACUUAGGAAUCAGAUCAGAGAUACAGCUAUAUUUAGUACCACAAGGACACCUUUUGUAAGUCAUGUGAGGUGAUUCAGCUAGAACGAGCACUCUUCACUCCCAGGACCAUCCCCUGAUACUAUAAAAUGCUUGCUAUAGCAUGGCACUUCAGCAUUAGAAGAAAGCAUCUGAUUUCAAAGAGAUUGAGUUCCACUCUGGAACUAAUUAUAUCAUUCGUUUUAUGGAUUUUUUUUAAGUUGCUAGGUGUUUUAACUGGAGAAGACUGGCGACUGAGAGAGAAACGUACUGGCAGAGAUUCUGCCAUGGGCGCUUUAGCCACCUAAUUAAUUUUCAAUAAAAACUCGCAAUAGUUAAUUUGCUCUGGACCCCAAUGUAAAUCAAACUGAGACAAAUAGGUUAAAAUUAGAAAUGUGUGAUGGAAACCAUGUUUAUGGUCAAAAUUACCUUUCACCCUGGAAAUAACACAGAUUGACAGGGAAAGAAAAUGAGACCACACAGGUUUUUGUUCAAAGAGACUCUUAAGUGAAUUAAAUAUUUUAUUAAGGGGAAACGUGGACCAAAAAAAAAAAGUAUCCAGGAUCUAUGAAAUGAUGUUAUUUUAAUAAAAAGUGAAGUUUUAAAAAGAGUUACCUUAAAAAAUUAAGACAUCACUUUCAUUGUACAAAGUUGCCUGGUACCCCCUUUUAUUUUUUUUCCCAGGUUUAACAUGAUGUAGGGUAUAAUAGUAAAAAUACUAUAAAGUUAUCAAGUUCCUGGGUCUAAGUUGGCAGACAUACCCACCCAGCGCCACAGUCCUUCAGCGCCUAUGUUCCAAAACAUUACUUUCCAACAUCGAGUAAUCAUUUUUACUUUUACGAGAACACAGACAUAGAUUUUUUAUGAUUUUAUAAUUAUACUUCAAUCC
Molecule: long non-coding RNA, 4535 nt
Organism: Macaca mulatta (Rhesus monkey)
Lineage: Eukaryota; Metazoa; Chordata; Mammalia; Primates; Cercopithecidae
Source: Ensembl